Molecule: long non-coding RNA, 1095 nt
Filed under: Mus caroli (Ryukyu mouse)
Lineage: Eukaryota; Metazoa; Chordata; Mammalia; Rodentia; Muridae
Description: lncRNA (MGP_CAROLIEiJ_G0004756.1)
Source: RNAcentral
AGGGAGCAAAGGUUCUUGCUGAGAUGGAGGAAGGAAAUAAUGGUUCUAUCUUUUAUUGACGAUUAUAUAUGGCCCUCAGAGCUGAGAAAAUACAUAAGCAGGUUGGGUACAAGAUAGAUGAUGAAGGAAAGGAGACAACAGAAUCCCCACAGGAUCCACACUGGGCAUCCAUGCCCCUUAGUUGGGUGACCAUGGAUGGAGUGCAUGACAUGCAUGGGUCUGUCUGGCCCAGAAGAAUCAAAUCAAGGUGUGCAGUCUUUGCAGCACACCCUCCGAUAGUAUCCAAGAGGGACCCAGAUGCUGCAAUGAUGGAGCUUUCACAUCACCCACCAGGAUAGCCGAGAAUGACUGUGAAUACCAGGACUCUCUCUGGAGCCCAAUCUCCCCGUGCCAAACCGCUGAUACUGCUGCCAGCACCCCAGAAGUUUGUGGAGGACAGAGGAGCCAUGAAGUUCCACCAGUGGGGCUUUUUAUAGGAACCACUCCACUCCUGGCUUAGAUACCAAAGAAACCUCUGGUCAAAGUCUUUUCAAAGAACUGCCAACGGAAAUCGGGGUCUCCCGUGAGCAUGUGUCCCACAGUACUGUUGUCAAGUCUCUUUGACAUCCACUAGACUCCAAGUGCCUGGUCUCUCUUCAUCCCACCACUGAGGAGAUACACAGAAGCCAAUUCCAACAUGGAGACUGCAACAUGAAUGUGCAGGCAGCAGUGAGCACACAGGACUCUCCUUACAGGAGAUAAGCUGGCACUGUUCACGCAGACCCACCUAGGUGCAGAGCCAGGCCAUGAGGGCUGCUCACAGUGUGCUCCAGGUCACCUGAAACUAUCAGGCACUUUCUCUGAUAAGCACUAUAGGACUGUGCUGUGCUAUCUGUCUGUGUGUUGUUCAUGACUUAAAGGAUAAAACUACAUUUCUAGGCUAAAUUACGUGUAGUCUACUACAGCCUGACCCCAGAAUCUACCAAAGACCACCAUUCCAGGGACAAUCACAAAGAUGUCAUCCAAGCUGACCUACGCCACUAAUUUAUAUUUCCUAUGGCCUGAUUUUGUACUUGGUAUUUAUAUUAGGGAUUAUAAUGCUCGUGUUUCCUUUAA